Molecule: non-coding RNA, 73 nt
Organism: Stegodyphus mimosarum
Lineage: Eukaryota; Metazoa; Arthropoda; Arachnida; Araneae; Eresidae
Source: Rfam
CCCUUCGUAGUGUAGUGGUCAGCACGCUUGACGCGUAACCGAGAGGUCCGUGGUUAGAUUCCCAGCGAAGGCG